RNAcentral lists this long non-coding RNA (112 nucleotides) under Oreochromis niloticus (Nile tilapia). Its description in RNAcentral is "lncRNA (ENSONIG00000029262.1)". Lineage: Eukaryota; Metazoa; Chordata; Actinopteri; Cichliformes; Cichlidae. The record is from RNAcentral.
GAGAUUGAAGAUGCUGCUGUUGCUCCUGCUCCUCACGAGCGUUUCCCAGCAUGCUCUGGCUGUGGUGGUGGAGGUAUAUGAGGGGGAGACUAUGUUUACAAAGGUUCGAUAC